RNAcentral lists this small nuclear RNA (19 nucleotides) under Arabidopsis thaliana (thale cress). Its description in RNAcentral is "snRNA_04002". The record is from RNAcentral. Lineage: Eukaryota; Viridiplantae; Streptophyta; Magnoliopsida; Brassicales; Brassicaceae.
GAUUUUCAGUACGAAUACG